UAAAGAGUGCGUAAUAGCUCACUAGUCGAGUGACACUGCGCCGAAAAUGUACCGGGGCUAAACAUAUUACCGAAGCUGUGGAUUGUCCUUUGGACAAUGGUAGGAGAGCGUUCUAAGGGCGUCGAAGCAUGAUCGCAAGGACAUGUGGAGCGCUUAGAAGUGAGAAUGCCGGUGUGAGUAGCGAAAGACGGGUGAGAAUCCCGUCCACCGAUUGACUAAGGUUUCCAGAGGAAGGCUCGUCCGCUCUGGGUUAGUCGGGUCCUAAGCUGAGGCCGACAGGCGUAGGCGAUGGAUAACAGGUUGAUAUUCCUGUACCACCUAGUAUCGUUUUAAUCGAUGGGGGGACGCAGUAGGAUAGGCGAAGCGUGCUGUUGGAGUGCACGUCCAAGCAGUAAGGCUGAGUGUUAGGCAAAUCCGGCACUCAUAAGGCUGAGCUGUGAUGGGGAGAGGAAAUUGUUUCCUCGAGUCGUUGAUUUCACACUGCCGAGAAAAGCCUCUAGAUAGAUAACAGGUGCCCGUACCGCAAACCGACACAGGUAGUCAAGAUGAGAAUUCUAAGGUGAGCGAGCGAACUCUCGUUAAGGAACUCGGCAAAAUGACCCCGUAACUUCGGGAGAAGGGGUGCUCUUUAGGGUUCACGCCCAGAAGAGCCGCAGUGAAUAGGCCCAAGCGACUGUUUAUCAAAAACACAGGUCUCUGCUAAACCGUAAGGUGAUGUAUAGGGGCUGACGCCUGCCCGGUGCUGGAAGGUUAAGAGGAGUGGUUAGCUUCUGCGAAGCUACGAAUCGAAGCCCCAGUAAACGGCGGCCGUAACUAUAACGGUCCUAAGGUAGCGAAAUUCCUUGUCGGGUAAGUUCCGACCCGCACGAAAGGCGUAACGAUUUGGGCACUGUCUCAACGAGAGACUCGGUGAAAUCAUAGUACCUGUGAAGAUGCAGGUUACCCGCGACAGGACGGAAAGACCCCGUGGAGCUUUACUGUAGCCUGAUAUUGAAAUUCGGCACAGCUUGUACAGGAUAGGUAGGAGCCUUUGAAACGUGAGCGCUAGCUUACGUGGAGGCGUUGGUGGGAUACUACCCUAGCUGUGUUGGCUUUCUAACCCGCACCACUUAUCGUGGUGGGAGACAGUGUCAGGCGGGCAGUUUGACUGGGGCGGUCGCCUCCUAAAAGGUAACGGAGGCGCUCAAAGGUUCCCUCAGAAUGGUUGGAAAUCAUUCAUAGAGUGUAAAGGCAUAAGGGAGCUUGACUGCGAGACCUACAAGUCGAGCAGGGUCGAAAGACGGACUUAGUGAUCCGGUGGUUCCGCAUGGAAGGGCCAUCGCUCAACGGAUAAAAGCUACCCCGGGGAUAACAGGCUUAUCUCCCCCAAGAGUUCACAUCGACGGGGAGGUUUGGCACCUCGAUGUCGGCUCAUCGCAUCCUGGGGCUGUAGUCGGUCCCAAGGGUUGGGCUGUUCGCCCAUUAAAGCGGUACGCUAGCUGGGUUCAGAACGUCGUGAGACAGUUCGGUCCCUAUCCGUCGUGGGCGUAGGAAAUUUGAGAGGAGCUGUCCUUAGUACGAGAGGACCGGGAUGGACAUACCUCUGGUGUACCAGUUGUCGUGCCAACGGCAUAGCUGGGUAGCUAUGUAUGGACGGGAUAAGUGCUGAAAGCAUCUAAGCAUGAAGCCCCCCUCAAGAUGAGAUUUCCCAACUUCGGUUAUAAGAUCCCUCGAAGAUGACGAGGUUAAUAGGUUCGAGGUGGAAGCGUGGUGACACGUGGAGCUGACGAAUACUAAUCGAUCGAAGACUUAAUCAAUUUUUAAA
Molecule: ribosomal RNA, 1804 nt
Filed under: Staphylococcus epidermidis
Lineage: Bacteria; Bacillati; Bacillota; Bacilli; Caryophanales; Staphylococcaceae
Description: bacterial LSU rRNA
Rfam family: Bacterial large subunit ribosomal RNA
Source: RNAcentral